GAUGAAGAACGUAGCGAAAUGCGAAAAGUAGUGUGAAUUGCAGAAUUCAGUGAAUCAUCGAAUCUUUGAACGCACAUUGCGCCCCUUGGUAUUCCAUGGGGCAUGCCUGUUCGAGCGUCAUUUGUACCUUCAAGCUUUGCUUGGUGUUGGGUGUUUGUCCUGAGGGACUCGCCUUAAAGUAAUUGGCAGCCAGUGUUUGGUUUUGAAGCGCAGCACAAGUCGCGAUUCAAGGCUAUACACCAGCUUCCACAAGCCUUUUUCACUUUUGACCUCGGAUCAGGUAGGGAUACCCGCUGAACUUAAGCAUAUCAAUAAGCGGAGGA
RNAcentral lists this unclassified non-coding RNA (323 nucleotides) under soil metagenome. RNAcentral's name for it is "partial contains 5.8S ribosomal RNA, internal transcribed spacer 2, and large subunit ribosomal RNA". The stretch from base 1 to 120 matches the Rfam family "5.8S ribosomal RNA", at positions 35 to 154 of the family's 154-position model. The record is from RNAcentral.